UUCCUAUCUCAAGUCCGAAUAAAAAUUACAGUUCAUUAAAAAAUGGUGUUCAGUUUCAAUCGUAUUUUCAUCACAAAACUGACAAAUUCUUUCAUUAAAAGGUGUAACUGGCUUGUUGUAACGUCCUAUUUCGAUGGUGAGUGGUAAGGAGCCACAACGAAAACUUGAUAACGUUCUACGGUAGUCUCUAAACUUGACAGAUUUCACAUAACUGCUUGGCUGAAGAUAACUUUUUUACUGUCUAAACGUCCUAAGUUUAUUACCAUUUUCACAGUUUCUAUCGUUAUGCACAUCGCGUAGCCAAUUUUCAGCAUCUAUAGUGAUUAAUUUGUUCUUUACAAUACUAAUUUUUUUGUCGGGUUGUCAUAUUUUGAGCAUUUAUCAAAUAACUUAAGUCACUUUUUAAAUAAAUUUCAGAACACGGGAAUGCCACGAUGGCUUAUUUGAUUUUCUCGAUUCAUGUUUCUUUUUAACGAGCCUAUUUCCAUAUAAAUUUGUAACUUUCAAAUACAGUCUCAAAACUUCGAUAUUUUGUUUAGUCUUUACUGUAGACCAUCCCAUUUCUCUACGCAUAGCUAGGUUUGAAGAGUUGAUGAAAGCACAUAGGUAGUAUCGGCACGCUUUGUUUUGAACAGUUUCUAAUUGUUUGUGUUCUGAUAUGCCCCAUAUACUCGCUCCAUAUAAUACAAGGCUGGACAAGGCUUUCAUAUAGUUUAGUAAAUAUGUCAUAGUCCAUACCGCCACAUGAAAUGAACGUUGUAUAUAGUGCGGAGAGGGCUCUUCUUGCCGACUUUAUUAUUUAUCUCACUGUAAAUUUCCAAUUUAGAUGUUCAUAAAGCC
This 840-nucleotide long non-coding RNA is filed under the name Mytilus galloprovincialis (Mediterranean mussel). Lineage: Eukaryota; Metazoa; Mollusca; Bivalvia; Mytilida; Mytilidae. The record is from RNAcentral.